CUGUGGAUAACUUCGGGAAACCGGAGCUAAUACCGGAUAACAUUUGGAACCGCAUGGUUCUAAAGUGAAAGAUGGUUUUGCUAUCACUUAUAGAUGGACCCGCGCCGUAUUAGCUAGUUGGUAAGGUAACGGCUUACCAAGGCGACGAUACGUAGCCGACCUGAGAGGGUGAUCGGCCACACUGGAACUGAGACACGGUCCAG
Molecule: ribosomal RNA, 203 nt
Filed under: uncultured Staphylococcus sp.
Lineage: Bacteria; Bacillati; Bacillota; Bacilli; Caryophanales; Staphylococcaceae
Description: partial 16S ribosomal RNA
Rfam family: Bacterial small subunit ribosomal RNA
Source: RNAcentral